CAGUAGCCGCGGUAAUACAGAGGAUGCAAGCGUUAUCCGGAAUCAUUGGGUUUAAAGGGUCCGUAGGCGGUUUAGUAAGUCAGUGGUGAAAGCCCAUCGCUCAACGGUGGAACGGCCAUUGAUACUGCUGAACUUGAAUUAUUAGGAAGUAACUAGAAUAUGUAGUGUAGCGGUGAAAUGCUUAGAGAUUACAUGGAAUACCAAUUGCGAAGGCAGGUUACUACUAAUUGAUUGACGCUGAUGGACGAAAGCGUGGGGAGCGAACAGGAUUAGAUACCCGCGUAGUCCCUGUCUCUUAUAC
RNAcentral lists this ribosomal RNA (301 nucleotides) under uncultured bacterium. RNAcentral's name for it is "partial 16S ribosomal RNA". It matches the Rfam family "Bacterial small subunit ribosomal RNA", at positions 509 to 807 of the family's 1533-position model. The record is from RNAcentral.